AUUGAACGCUGGCGGCAGGCUUAACACAUGCAAGUCGAGCGGUAGCACAGGGGAGCUUGCUCCCUGGGUGACGAGCGGCGGACGGGUGAGUAAUGUCUGGGAAACUGCCUGAUGGAGGGGGAUAACUACUGGAAACGGUAGCUAAUACCGCAUAACGUCGCAAGACCAAAGAGGGGGACCUUCGGGCCUCUUGCCAUCAGAUGUGCCCAGAUGGGAUUAGCUAGUAGGUGGGGUAAUGGCUCACCUAGGCGACGAUCCCUAGCUGGUUUGAGAGGAUGACCAGCCACCCUGGAACUGAGACACGGUCCAACAUCCUACGGGAGGCAGCAGUGGGUAAUAUUGCACAAUGGGCGGAAGCCUGAUGCAGCCAUGCCGCGGGUGUGAAGAAGGCCUUCGGGUUGUAAAGCACUUUCAGCGAGGAGGAAGGUGGUGAGCUUAAUACGUUCAUCAAUCGACGUUACUCGCAGAAGAAACACCGGCUAACUCCGU
Molecule: ribosomal RNA, 489 nt
Filed under: uncultured bacterium
Lineage: Bacteria
Description: partial 16S ribosomal RNA
Rfam family: Bacterial small subunit ribosomal RNA
Source: RNAcentral